RNAcentral lists this ribosomal RNA (465 nucleotides) under uncultured bacterium. RNAcentral describes it as "partial 16S ribosomal RNA". It matches the Rfam family "Bacterial small subunit ribosomal RNA", at positions 28 to 507 of the family's 1533-position model. The record is from RNAcentral.
GACGAACGCUGGCGGCGUGCUUAACACAUGCAAGUCGAACGGUAAGGCUCCAGCUUGCUGGGGUACACGAGUGGCGAACGGGUGAGUAACACGUGGGUGACCUGCCCUGCACUUCCGGAUAAGCCUGGGAAACUGGGUCUAAUACCGGAUAGGACCGCACCGUGAGGGUGUGGUGGAAAGUUUUUUCGGUGUGGGAUGGGCCCGCGGCCUAUCAGCUUGUUGGUGGGGUAAUGGCCUACCAAGGCGGCGACGGGUAGCCGGCCUGAGAGGGUGGACGGCCACAUUGGGACUGAGACACGGCCCAGACUCCUACGGGAGGCAGCAGUGGGGAAUAUUGCACAAUGGGCGGAAGCCUGAUGCAGCGACGCCGCGUGGGGGAUGACGGCCUUCGGGUUGUAAACUCCUUUCACCAUCGACGAAGGGUUUCUGACGGUAGAUGGAGAAGAAGCACCGGCUAACUACGUG